UACGGAGGGUACUAGCGUUGUCCGGAUUUAUUGGGGUUAAAGGGCUUGUAGGUGGCUUGACGCGUCAGUCGUGAAAUCCUGUGGCUUAACCAUGGGAUUGCGGUGGGUACGGGCAGGCUUGAGUGCGAUUGGGGAGACUGGAAUGCCUGAUGUAGCGGUGAAAUGCGCAGAUAUCAGGCGGAACACCGGUGGCGAAGGCGGGUGUCUGGGUC
RNAcentral lists this ribosomal RNA (212 nucleotides) under uncultured bacterium. RNAcentral describes it as "partial 16S ribosomal RNA". It matches the Rfam family "Bacterial small subunit ribosomal RNA", at positions 524 to 735 of the family's 1533-position model. The record is from RNAcentral.